Molecule: ribosomal RNA, 468 nt
Filed under: uncultured bacterium
Lineage: Bacteria
Description: partial 16S ribosomal RNA
Rfam family: Bacterial small subunit ribosomal RNA
Source: RNAcentral
GACGAACGCUGGCGGCGUGCUUAACACAUGCAAGUCGAACGGAAAGGCCCUGCUUUUGUGGGUUGCUCGAGUGGCGAACGGGUGUGUAACACGUGUGUAUCCUGCCCUUUACUUUGUGAUAACUUCAGGAAACUGGGGCUCAUACCCGAUAGGAUCUCCUGCUGCAUGGUGUUGGUUGGUAAGUUUCGGCGGUUGGGUAUGGACUCGCUGCUUCUCAGCUUGUUGGUGGGGUAGUUGCUUACCAAGGCUUUGACGGGUAGCCGGCCUGAGAGGGUGACCGGGGACAUGGGGACUGAGAUACGGACCAGAAUCGUACGGGAGGCAGCAGGGGGGAAUAUUGCAGAAUGGGGGGAAGCCUGAGGCAGCAACGCCGCGAGCGGGAUGACGGGCUUCGGGUGGUAAACCGCUUUCGAAGGAGACGAAGAGUGAGUGACGGUAAUGGGUAAAGAAGCACCGGCUAACUACGUG